RNAcentral lists this ribosomal RNA (457 nucleotides) under uncultured bacterium. RNAcentral's name for it is "bacterial SSU rRNA". It matches the Rfam family "Bacterial small subunit ribosomal RNA", at positions 30 to 507 of the family's 1533-position model. The record is from RNAcentral.
AUUGAACGCUGGCGGCAUGCCUUACACAUGCAAGUCGAACGGUAACAGGUCUUCGGAUGCUGACGAGUGGCGAACGGGUGAGUAAUACAUCGGAACGUGCCCGAUCGUGGGGGAUAACGGAGCGAAAGCUUUGCUAAUACCGCAUACGAUCUACGGAUGAAAGCAGGGGACCGCAAGGCCUUGCGCGGACGGAGCGGCCGAUGGCAGAUUAGGUAGUUGGUGGGAUAAAAGCUUACCAAGCCGACGAUCAGUAGCAGGUCUGAGAGGAUGAUCUGCCACACUGGGACUGAGACACAGCCCAGACUCCUACGGGAGGCAGCAGUUAGGAAUAUUGGACAAUGGGCGAAAGCCUGAUCCAGCCAUGCCGCGUGUGUGAUGAAGGCCCUAGGGUUGUAAAGCACUUUCGUUGGGGAUGAUAAUGACCGUACCCAAAGAAGAAGCACCGGCUAACUUCGUG